UACGAAGGGGGCUAGCGUUGUUCGGAAUUACUGGGCGUAAAGCGUGCGCAGGCGGCUAUCCAAGUCAGUGGUGAAAGCCCGGAGCUCAACUCCGGAAUUGCCAUUGAAACUGUUUAGCUCGAGUACGAGAGAGGUGAGUGGAAUUCCCAGUGUAGAGGUGAAAUUCGUAGAUAUUGGGAAGAACACCGGUGGCGAAGGCGGCUCACUGGCUCGUAACUGACGCUCAUGCACGACAGCGUGGGGAUCAAACAGG
Molecule: ribosomal RNA, 253 nt
Filed under: uncultured bacterium
Lineage: Bacteria
Description: partial 16S ribosomal RNA
Rfam family: Bacterial small subunit ribosomal RNA
Source: RNAcentral